UACAUGAUCACUGGAAAAACCAUAGCUUUGACUGGAAGACCUUUGUUGGCAAAAUAAUGUCUCUGCUUUUUAAUAUGCUGUCUAGAUUGGUCAUAACUUUUCUUCCAAGGAGUAAGCAUCUUAAUUUCAUGGCUGCAGUCACCAUCUGCAGUGACUUUGGAGCCCCCCAAAAUAAAAUUUGCUACUGUUUCCACUGUUUCCCAUCUAUUUGCUUUGAAGUGAUGGGACCAGAUGCCAUGAUCUUAGUUUUCUGAACGUUGAGUUUUAAGCCAGCUUUUUCACUCUCCUUUUCACUUUCAUCAAGAGGCUCUUCAGUUCUUCACUUUCUGCCAUAAAGGUGGUGUCAUCUGCUUAUCUGAGAUUAUUGAUAUUUCUUCUGGCAAUUUUGAUUCCAGCCUGUGCUGUGUCCAGUCCAGCAUUUCUCAUGAUGUACUCUGCAUAUAAGUUAAAUAAGCUGGGUGACAAUAUACAGCCUUGACAUACUCCUUUCCCAGUUUGGAACCAGUCUGUUGUUCCAUGUCCAGUUCUAACUUGCUUUCUGACCUGCAUACAGAUUUCUCAAGAGGCAGGUCAGGUGAUCUGGUAUUCCCAUCUCUUAAGAAUUUUCCAGAGUUAGUUGUGAUCCACACAGUCAAAGGCUUUGGCAUAGUUAAUAAAGCAGAAGUAGGUGUUUUUCUGGAACUCUUGCUUUUUCAAUGAUAAAGCGGUUGUUGGCAAUUUGAUCUCUGGUUCCUCUGCCUUGUCUAAAUCCAGCUUGAACACUUGGAAAUUCACGGUUCACAUACUGUUGAAGCCUGGCUUGGAGAAUUUUGAAUGUUACUUUACUAGUGUGUGAGAUGAGUGCAAUUGUGUGGUAGUUUGAACAUUCUCUGGCAUUGCCUUUUUUUGGGAUUGGAAUGAAAACUGACCUUUUUGAGUCCUGUGGCCACUGCUGAGUUUUCCAAAUUUGCUGGCAUAUUGAGUGCAGCACUUUCACAGCAUCAUCUUUUAGGAUUUGAAAUAGCUCAACUGGAAUUCCAACACCUCCACUAGCUUUGUUUGUAGUGAUGCUUCGUAAGGCCCACUUGACUUCACAUUCCAGGAUGUCUGGGUCUAGGUCCACAGUAUUUCACGUGGCUCAGUGGGUAAAGAAUCCGCCUGCUGAUGCUGCAAGAGACACAGGAGAUGUGGAUUCGAUCCCUGGGUUGGGAAGAUCCCCCUGGAGGAGGAAAUAGCAGUUCACUCCAGUAUUAUUGCCUGGAGAAUCCUGUGGACAGAGGAGCCUGGCAGGCUCUACAGUCCAUGGAGUGGAAAAGAAUCAGACACAACUGAAGUGACUGAGCAUGCACGCAGAACCUGUUAACCAAGUGCAAGGGGAAGAAAGAUACAGGCAAACAUGAAGAGCGUGUGUUACUCACAGGUCUUCCCUGACGAAGCAAUGAAGGACAUAAUCCAGGAAGGAGAGAAUAGUUCAGAAGAAAGGAGUGAGAUUCAGGAAGAAUGGGGAGCAGAGGGAUAGGAGACCAUGAGGGCAGAUCCUCAGACACUGGUUGACCACAACAGCAAAGAUGACGGUGGCCUAUUUGGAUGGUUAACAGCAAUGGAGAGGGGGUUCCAGAGAGGCGAAGGCUGUGGCGGCAGGGGUUUGGAAUUUCUGUGAUUCCCUCCGUAUUGUAGGAACAGAUACUAGAGAGCAAAACCAGAAAUCCCACUGGUACUUCUAUCUAGCCCAGGUGACACAGUGGUAAAGAAUCCUCCUGCUAACACAGGGGAUGCAAGACCCCUGGGUCAGGAAGAGCCCCUGGAGAGGGAAAUGGCAGCCCGCUCCAGUAUUCUUGCCUGGAAAAUCCCACGGACAGAGGAGCCUCACAGUCUACGGUCCAUGGGGUCACAAACGACUGAGCAACUGAGCACGCACACAUUGAACCAUUAGGUGAGAUGUUACUGUGAACCACCCCUAUGAUCCCCCAGAGGACAAAUGGGUGGGGACAGAUCAACCACGGCCCCAAGCCCGGCACGGUAUCUGCUGUGGUGCCAGAGGAAGCAGAGGGGAGCAGGGACAGCUGAUGGACCCGAGAGCUGAGACCCCAGGGUAGCCAAGGGUUCUACCAGGAAGGAGGUGCGGUGGAACCAUCUGAUGAGGCUGGGAAGGUUACCCAGUCCGACAGCAAGUGAACUCUGGGGACCUUGGUAAGAUCUGGACAGGGGCGGGCUGCCUUGGUGGUCCAGGGGCUAAGUCUGUGCUCCCAAUGCAGGGGGCCCAGCUUCAUUCCCUGGUCGCGGAACUAGAUUCUGCACACCACAUUGAAGGUCCCACGUGCAGCAACUAAGACCCAGUGCGGCCAAAAGAAAUAGGAAAGAGUAAAAAGAAAAGGUCCAGGGGGCUGGGGCACUCAGUCCUGACACUGACCCUCCUGGGCUGGCCUCUGAGACAGACCGGCAUUGCAGAGAAACUGCUGAAUGGGAUCCGAUUGACCGGGGCAGGGAUGGCAGGAGUGAAAGAGAGGUGAGCCCCAGGUGUGUGGGGAAGUGAAGGCAGCCCCCACAUCUCAGAAGGCCAGCUGCCAUAUCUGUCAGCCCCAAGCAAAAACAACCCUGUAAAAUUAGAAAUGUUCUAAACGGUUUCCUCAUCUUUUGCCCUGUAACCGAUUUCUCCCCUCCCCCCAACCAAACCAGAAGUCAACAACAAAACCAGCUGAACUCAGACGUCCACUGCUCUCCGCUGACCAGUGAUCUCCUGAGCCUUCCCUUCUGAGACCCGCCCUGCAGGCAGCACCUGGUCUUGGGAUGGAUGUUAGGAACCUCAAUUCCUCCCUAAAUCUAUUGCCAGAUUCACUCUAGUGCACCCGUAGGGCUGCAAUGUGGUGAAGAAAGCUGAGGACAUUUAGGGUGUCCCGACAGAGUGCCUACAGGAGCAGGAUAUACAUGACCCCAAACACGGGACACGUCCAUGUGGGCAGCCUACACCUCUCUGAACCUCUUGGUCCAAAGGAUAUCCCAGGAAGUGCUCAUCACUUGAUUGAGGAGCCAGGUUCACUGCUGGCGUCCUUCCCAAGGAUGCUGAAAUCUUUUAAAAAACUAAUUUUUCGGCCGUGUGGGAUCUAGUUCCCUGGCCAGGGACCGGACCUGCAGCCCCUUCAUUGGAAGCGUGGAGUCCUAACCACUGGACCACCAGGUUGCCUGAGAAGCCAGAAAACAGACCUCUCUGCCUAACCCAGGGCUUCUGGACCAGGGUCUCCAAGGGGAGCAGAGCAGAGGUAUUUGAAGCCAACCCCUUCAGGAUGCUGACUGUCAUAUCCCAAAUGAACACCAGGUGGCGUCCAGGCUCCGUGCUGGUCCUGGAGACCCCAGAGGCAGGCUCUGCAUUAAAAAAAUUUUUUUUUCCUUCUUGUCAUACUUGUCUACUGAAAAGUUGGCAGGGAAGUUUGUGCAAUGUGGAAUGUGGGGCAGUGACCUCAAUUGUCCUGCCCUGUGCAUGACAUGCCUUCAACAAUCCUGUGUUUGAUUG
Long non-coding RNA from Bos taurus (domestic cattle), 3487 nucleotides. The record is from Ensembl. NCBI's taxonomy places the organism in Eukaryota, Metazoa, Chordata, Mammalia, Artiodactyla, Bovidae.